Long non-coding RNA from Gossypium raimondii (Peruvian cotton), 361 nucleotides. RefSeq lists it as uncharacterized. The record is from RefSeq and is a predicted model, not a curated record. Lineage: Eukaryota; Viridiplantae; Streptophyta; Magnoliopsida; Malvales; Malvaceae. The transcript has 3 exons.
GAACGAAAUCAGCAAGGGGGAAGCCAUAUUUAGGGUUUUCAAGGUUCCAAUCUCCAUAAUCAAGAAGAACGAAACUCGAGGUUAGACAAAGGAAAGAAUAAAGUUGAAGACUAAGUUGGUGAAUUGGGCUAUAUUUGGGAUCGAGUAUUGCAAGCUACUUCAAGUAUCCUAAAGAAGUCGGAGAUCGUCCACACUAUCAACCGCAAUAAUUCGGUAUUUUAUGAUGAACCAUGUUUGGGUUAUGGCAUGUAUAGGGACUUAGUUAUUUUGAAUGUUUGUAUUUAUGAUUUUUCUAAAGGAUAUUAUGUAAGUAUUUGAUGAUGACUGGUUGUUAAAUAUGGUUAAGUAUGAAGGUGUUUGU